GCUCUGGAGAGCUCAGUUGAGCAUGAGACUCUUAAUCUCAAGGUUGUGAGUUUGAGCCCCACGUUGGGCA
Molecule: non-coding RNA, 70 nt
Organism: Podarcis lilfordi (Lilford's wall lizard)
Lineage: Eukaryota; Metazoa; Chordata; Lepidosauria; Squamata; Lacertidae
Source: the annotation of a GenBank genome assembly